This 324-nucleotide ribosomal RNA is filed under the name Foraminifera environmental sample. Its description in RNAcentral is "bacterial SSU rRNA". It matches the Rfam family "Eukaryotic small subunit ribosomal RNA", at positions 1160 to 1399 of the family's 1831-position model. Lineage: Eukaryota; Foraminifera. The record is from RNAcentral.
AAGGGCACCACAAGAACGCGUGGAGCAUGUGGCUUAAUUUGACUCAACGCGGGAAAUCUUACCGGGUCCGGACACACUGAGGAUUGACAGGUUCUUGCAGUUUAGUUUACUAAACUGCUUUAAAUAUGCUAGUCCUUUCAUGAUCGUGUGAUAGGUGGUGCAUGGCCGUUCUUAGUUCGUGGAGUGAUCUGUCUGCUUAAUUGCGUUUCAAACAGGACAUUGGGCAACAAGUUGUGAUUCGAGAUUAGACCCUUUCAUUUAUUUGAGAGUUGUGCGCUCGUUUCGCACAGCCUAUUUCUGUCCUCAACGCAACGAACGUGACCG